UAUAAGAUGCCUGAAAAAAGGACGAUCUUGAUAGGAUUGAUCAUAUGGCUCCCCCCAUUCUUAUAA
RNAcentral lists this transfer RNA (66 nucleotides) under Lactica sp. BMNH 846625. RNAcentral's name for it is "tRNA-Ile". Lineage: Eukaryota; Metazoa; Arthropoda; Insecta; Coleoptera; Chrysomelidae. The record is from RNAcentral.